This 943-nucleotide long non-coding RNA is filed under the name Lactuca sativa (garden lettuce). Its description in RNAcentral is "long non-coding RNA (LSAT_LNC004330)". Lineage: Eukaryota; Viridiplantae; Streptophyta; Magnoliopsida; Asterales; Asteraceae. The record is from RNAcentral.
UAAUUAGAUGCUAGUAAAAGGUUAUGUAGGUUUAAAUAUAUAUUAAGGAAUCAUUAUUAUAAAGAAAUAUGAAAAGCCAUGGAAGCUUCAAAUGAUUGUGGUGAUAGAAAAAAUGUGUCAUUUAUAAGUAUAGUAUCAUAUUAAAUUUAAACCUUUUAAAUUUAUAUUUUAUGUAUUUCCAAUUCCAUUUUCUUAUUAAAUAACGUUCAACAUAAACAUUCAAAUUCGAAUUGAAGUUUAAUAAUAUACAAAUUUAAUUAAUUAAUUGUUCAAAUCUCAAUUUCAAUUAAAUAAUUUCAAAUUAAUUACUAAAUUCAAAUAUUUAGAUUUAAAAAGUUAAAAAAUAUUGUAAUCUAAGAGGCUUAUCACAAAAAUUCGAAAUUUUAGAAAAUUCUUGAAUUUUGUCCAGCUCGCUAGAUGCGUUGCGACCAACAAUUGGCACGUGCACCUAUGACUAGACGUGUUUUGUUUUUUUCAAUUUUUACCAAGUUUGUGCUAUUAACUAAAAUUGGUUAUGCUAUGAUACCACCGUUAGGGAUUAUUAACACCCAAUACACAUCAUAGGGUAGCAGAAACAGUCAACAGAUUUAUCUAAGUGCACAUGCAUCCUACAAUCCAGAUUUUACUUGUUACAACAACAUAUUUUAAAAAUGAACAAAAUAAAUAAUUACUAACCUCAUAAUUGCUUGUUUAUGAUCUUGUGUCUGUCAACUCGUUACAAUGAUGAUGAUCCAACGUAGCACUCAUCUAAUGGAAUCAGACCCACAACACCAAAAGUAAAAGGAAGAAACCCAAAACUAGGGUUUAUUCAAAAAUCAACUCUUGGGAGAGAGGUUGUAAAUUCCUUUUGGAAAGAGAGAGAGAAAGAGAGAGAGAGAGAGAGAAAGAGAGAGAGAAAGAGAUAUAGAGAGGUAGUGGACGAAUUUGGUGAGAGAAUAAUCAC